Molecule: ribosomal RNA, 433 nt
Filed under: uncultured bacterium
Lineage: Bacteria
Description: partial 16S ribosomal RNA
Rfam family: Bacterial small subunit ribosomal RNA
Source: RNAcentral
AACGAACGCUGGCGGCAUGCCUAACACAUGCAAGUCGAACGAGACCUUCGGGUCUAGUGGCGCACGGGUGCGUAACGCGUGGGAACCUGCCUUUAGGUUCGGAAUAACUCAGAGAAAUUUGAGCUAAUACCGGAUGAUGUCUUCGGACCAAAGAUUUAUCGCCUUUAGAUGGGCCCGCGUUGGAUUAGCUAGUUGGUGGGGUAAAGGCCUACCAAGGCGACGAUCCAUAGCUGGUCUGAGAGGAUGAUGAGCCACACUGGGACUGAGACACGGCCCAGACUCCUACGGGAGGCAGCAGUGGGGAAUAUUGGACAAUGGGCGAAAGCCUGAUCCAGCAAUGCCGCGUGAGUGAUGAAGGCCUUAGGGUUGUAAAGCUCUUUUACCCGAGAUGAUAAUGACAGUAUCGGGAGAAUAAGCUCCGGCUAACUCCGUG